AUGAGAGCAGGAGAGGUGAGGGCAGAAGUCUCUAGUAUCUGUGAAGCUCAACCAGUGCUGCCCUGCCCAUGCCUUUGCCUCUCAUAUGGCUGCUGCUGCACCAGAUUUGGGGUAAUAACACAUUUCCUCUUGCUCUGCUUUAGGAUUCCUGCCCUGAUAAGAUUUAACUAUCUGCUAAAGCUGAACAUUAUACAUCUAAGGCCAGACCUCAGUAUUGCAGCUGUUGGCCCAGUUCUGAGCAGUUCAUGAGGACCUGAUUCAGAAUAUUACUGCUGAAGAGUCAUCCUGCAACAGUGAUCAUAACAUGUGCAGAGCGUGGGAGCAACAAGGGAAUGCAGUGCAUCCAUUCAGUGUUGAGAGGCAUGUCAUCGUGAGAAGAGAACUCAGUGCUGCAAAAGGACAGGUGACAGCAGCCAUGAGGAGUAGUAGGAAAAAUUUUGAUUAGACGUAAGGAAAGAAAUAUUUGCUAAAAAAGUUAGGGUAAAGCCCAGGACGUGAUGGGAUCACCAUCCUUGGAGAUUUUUAAAACUGUCUUGCACAAAGGCUUGGCCAACCUGACCUAGGUUUGUAGUUAGCUCUGCUUGGAGCAGGUGACUGUGCAGUAUGAACUCUCAGCCUAAAUCCCUCUUCGAAACUAUGUGGGGUGUUUGUUUGUUUGGUUUGGUUUGUUAUGUUUUGUUUUUUUAAGGCCAUCAAUUAAAUUAACCAUCAUUGCAGACAGCAUGGUGAGCAUCCUGAACAUCACACUGGAAGUUCAGAAUUCAUGCACGCUGGAAGGAAUUUAAGAGAGGCCAGGAAGAAGCUAGCAUGGCUGAACAGUAGUGUAGAGGAGACAAGCAAGAGCAAGGAGCAUCUAUAAUCUUUUACAAAUGAGGAAAAUAGGAAGGAAGAUCAAUGCUGGCAGAUUAAAUGCAAAAGCAUCCUAAGACUGUCCAAACAGUGUAUGAGUAUUAAUUUUUAAAAGACACCAAAACUAGCAAUAACUCUUUUUUGAAUUCUUCAGGAGAUGGAAGGCAGACAAAGAAUCUGCAGACAUAGUAAGGGAUGAGGAUACAGAAAAGGCAUAGAAAAAAAUGACUCAACAGUAGAAAAAGUACAUAUUACCAUUUUAUUAUUUCUGUAUCAUGUUCAACUUGCCAUAAGGAAUAUAAAAAAAAUUGUACCACGAACCUAACUGAGGGAUGUAAAAUUGCUCUAAAAUUUAAGAUAAGAACACUGCAGAUGAGCUAGCAGGAAAAAAAAAAAAAGAAUAAAAAAUCACAAGAUUAAAAGAACA
RNAcentral lists this long non-coding RNA (1276 nucleotides) under Anser cygnoides (Swan goose). RNAcentral describes it as "lncRNA (ENSACDG00005012948.1)". The record is from RNAcentral. Lineage: Eukaryota; Metazoa; Chordata; Aves; Anseriformes; Anatidae.